GUUCGACUAAAGUAAAAGUUGUAAAAUGCAUUUUUUUGUACAAAAACACUUCAUUUUGUUAUGAAAAAUUUUGGUCAGAUAAAAGAUUAUUUUUUUUAUAGAUUUUUUGUUCGUUUUAAUGCCAAUGUUAUCAUUAACUACGUUUCAAUAUUAUUUUACAAAUAUUUUAUCAUAUUCCAUCCAAAAUAAGAGGCUGAUUUUUCAAGUUUUAAAAAAUCAAUGU
RNAcentral lists this long non-coding RNA (223 nucleotides) under Mytilus galloprovincialis (Mediterranean mussel). The record is from RNAcentral. Lineage: Eukaryota; Metazoa; Mollusca; Bivalvia; Mytilida; Mytilidae.